GGACGAACGCUGGCGGCGUGCUUAACACAUGCAAGUUGAACGGGCAUACAUGGAAGCUUGCUGAAGUGUAUGUUAGUAGCGGACGGGUGAGUAAUGCAUGAGAAGCUGCCAUUGGGAGGGGGACAACAGUUGGAAACGGCUGCUAAUACCCCGUAUGCCGAAAGGUAAAAGGGAGCAAUCCGCCUGAUGAGGUGCUCACGUCCUAUCAGCUGGUUGGUGGGGUAACGGCCUACCAAGGCGACGACGGGUAGCCGGCCUGAGAGGGUGAACGGCCACACUGGAACUGAGAUACGGUCCAGACUCCUACGGGAGGCAGCAGUGGGGAAUAUUGGGCAAUGGGGGAAACCCUGACCCAGCGACGCCGCGUGAGGGAAGACGGCCUUCGGGUUGUAAACCUCUUUUGUACGGGAAGAAGGAAGUGACGGUACUGUACGAAUAAGUCCCGGCUAACUACGUGCCAGCAGCCGCGGUAAUACGUAGGGGACGAGCGUUGUCCGGAAUUACUGGGCGUAAAGGGCGCGCAGGCUGUGCUGCAAGUCAGCUGUGAAAUGUCUGGGCUUAACCCGGGCAUGCGGUUGAGACUGCAGUGCUGGAGUGCUGUAGAGGCAAGUGGAAUUCCCAGUGUAGCGGUGAAAUGCGUAGAUAUUGGGAAGAACACCGGUGGCGAAGGCGACUUGCUGGGCAGCAACUGACGCUGAGGAGCGAAAGCUGGGGGAGCAAACAGGAUUAGAUACCCUGGUAGUCCCAGCCGUAAACGAUGAGUGCUAGGUGUGGGGGGCGACAAUCCUCCGUGCCGCAGUUAACGCAAUAAGCACUCCGCCUGGGGAGUACGGCCGCAAGGCUAAAACUCAAAGGAAUUGACGGGGGCCCGCACAAGCAGUGGAGCGUGUGGUUUAAUUCGAGGCAACGCGAAGAACCUUACCAGGGUUUGACAUCAUACUGCCCUCUGUAGAAAUACAGACUUCCGCUUCGGCGGACAGUAUGACAGGUGUUGCAUGGUUGUCGUCAGCUCGUGUCGUGAGAUGUUGGGUUAAGUCCCGCAACGAGCGCAACCCCUAUCCAAUGUUGCCAACAGGUAAAGCUGGGGACUCAUUGGAGACUGCCGGAGACGAUCUGGAGGAAGGUGGGGAUGAGGUCAAAUCAUCAUGGCCCUUAAGCCCUGGGCUACACACGCGCUACAAUGGUCGGUACAACGGGCAGCGAAGGAGCGAUCUGGAGCGAAUCCCAAAAAGCCGGCCCCAGUUGGAAUCGCAGGCUGAAACUCGCCUGCGUGAACACGGAAUUGCUAGUAAUCGCGAAUCAGCUACGUCGCGGUGAAUACGUUCCCGGGCCU
Molecule: ribosomal RNA, 1333 nt
Filed under: uncultured bacterium
Lineage: Bacteria
Description: bacterial SSU rRNA
Rfam family: Bacterial small subunit ribosomal RNA
Source: RNAcentral